GUUUCUUAGUAAAGAACUAAGAUCCAGGAGGGAGAUGCCUGCGAGAUGAACUAUUCAGAGAAGCAGAAUUAGAAAGUGAAAAGUGAGGGAGUGGCACACCUGAAAUACCCACCGGCAGUGAGCAAUGUGAGUUUCGCACAUCUGCAUAACCAGGUACACAAGUCCGGAGUUCAUGCUGGUAGUUCUCUAGCAAGAUCUAGGAAGCAGUUCUUCAUGAGACUAUUGUUCUCGUAUUCACUCCAGAAACCAUAACAAC
This is a long non-coding RNA of Mauremys reevesii (Reeves's turtle), 256 nucleotides long. RefSeq lists it as uncharacterized. The transcript is spliced from 3 exons. NCBI's taxonomy places the organism in Eukaryota, Metazoa, Chordata, Testudines, Geoemydidae. The record is from RefSeq and is a predicted model, not a curated record.